GCCUGACAAUAGCUCAGUUGGUUAGAGUGUGGUGCUGAUAAUGCCAAGGUUGCAGGUUCAGUCCUCGUAUCGGACA
Non-coding RNA from Podarcis lilfordi (Lilford's wall lizard), 76 nucleotides. The record is from the annotation of a GenBank genome assembly. Lineage: Eukaryota; Metazoa; Chordata; Lepidosauria; Squamata; Lacertidae.